This 515-nucleotide ribosomal RNA is filed under the name uncultured bacterium. Its description in RNAcentral is "partial 16S ribosomal RNA". It matches the Rfam family "Bacterial small subunit ribosomal RNA", at positions 28 to 523 of the family's 1533-position model. The record is from RNAcentral.
GACGAACGCUGGCGGCGUGCCUAAUACAUGCAAGUCGAGCGAAUGGAUUAAGAGCUUGCUCUUAUGAAGUUAGCGGCGGACGGGUGAGUAACACGUGGGUAACCUGCCCAUAAGACUGGGAUAACUCCGGGAAACCGGGGCUAAUACCGGAUAACAUUUUGAACCGCAUGGUUCGAAAUUGAAAGGCGGCUUCGGCUGUCACUUAUGGAUGGACCCGCGUCGCAUUAGCUAGUUGGUGAGGUAACGGCACACCAAGGCAACGAUGCGUAGCCGACCUGGGUGUGUGAUGGGCCACACUGGGACUGAGACACGGCCCAGACUCCUACGGGAGGCAGCAGUAGGGAAUCUUCCGCAAUGGACGAAAGUCUGGCGGAGCAACGCCGCGUGAGUGAUGAAGGCUUUCGGGUCGUAAAACUCUGUUGUUAGGGAAGAACAAGUGCUAGUUGAAUAAGCUGGCACCUUGACGGUACCUAACCAGAAAGCCACGGCUAACUACGUGCCAGCAGCCGCCGUAA